AACGUAUUUGAGAUCGCCUCAAAAAGUUUAGCUGCUUAAAUGCCUAAAAUUUAGAGGUUGCAGUUGUUUGUCAUCAGUGCUUGCGACUGUGAUGUAGGAAUAAGUGUUGUUUGGCACAAUUGCAAGAUCACCAUGAUAAGCAUGCUGUCCUCAUUAUGAUGUCUCAUUUAUGGAAGAGACAGGAUUCUGUAACUUUCAAUACAUCUUUACAUGGAAUAUUUCGCAAAAUAAUACCUGAUGAUGCUUUUUUCUUCUUGGUGGGUGAACUAGAAUUCUACUCUACUGUCUGUGGCACUAGCAUAUAUCUAGCUAGGGAUUAGUCGAGAUAUUAGCAUGGAAUAUUUCAAGUACCAACCUCCGAGACACUUGCUUCAUCUACCAGGUGUCCAAUAACAACGAAUCUAAACCUGGACUUUAUCCCUUGCCUGAUCAGAUUUACUAGCAUCUUAUUCAUAAACACGUAUCUAAUCCGAGGAGGAAGACUUGUGAAAGGAAAAGGCACCACGUGGCCAAAUACAAGCGUAUCUUUUUACUCGUCUUCUAUUUGCAAACAUUAGCAAGCAUGCAUAAAUGAUAUCUUAGUCCCCCAUUCUAACCUUCAGAAAUUCUUCGAAGGCCACAGGGGUUUGUAGUUAUCCCUUCUGUAACUGUGCUGGUUGAUGGAAAGUAGAUGGUCAAGACGAGGAAAUUUUUGAUAACCUUAGUCCCCCAUUCUAACUCUCAGUUGAAUCACUACUGGAAACCAUAGAGGAAAAUAUUUUUAUUUUAUUUCUAUGGCUAAAUGAUAUCUUCUCACUUCAUGAUUAAAGAAUUAUGAUAAUCUAAUCAUUGGAACCUUAAACCCCUUAAUUAAUCAUCUUCUGUAUCCACGUAGACAUGCAAUGUAUAUCUCUAGAAAUUAGAUGAGAUCUCUCGAAAUUAGAUGAGUUUUUUUUUUUUUAGGGGGGGAUGUAGGGUAAAAGUAAAUGAUUGAUCCUUUUUUUUUUUGGUCAAACAGUUUCAAUAUAUGAAGCCCGUUUUACCCAGAAUCUAGAGCGGAAGAACAUGGUGUAAUUCUCAACGUCCAUACAUGCAUGAACAUAAAAAACUAAGCUCUUUAAGCCAUGCCCUUUUCUUUUUGCAUCAUCUACGGAAAGGGUGGGACACUACAAGAACAAGUGAUGAUUUUACCUUGUCUUGACCCUAUGGGUUGACAUAUGGAUGCAAUAAUUGGAAAACGACAAUCUCUGGUUUGAUAAAAUCGUAAAUGAACCACCAGCAUCGAAAGGGCAUUGAUCAUCAUUGCCUCAAAGAUUAUGUAUGUUGCAGCAAAGUAUCACGGCAUGCCCUAAUUUUCUUGGAUCAAAGUAUCAAACUGUUCUAAACUAUGAUCACAUGACCUUAACUUUCUCUCUUUACAUCAGAACCCAGUAACUUUUUCUCUUUUCUCUCCAACUAAAAAUUGAAAAAUAAAAUUGUAUUGAAAUUGAAUUUUCUAAAACUAAAAGGAUUGAAAUGUUUUUAAUUGAAAAGAAAGAUUAAUUUUAACUUUUUUUUUCAAAUAUGAAAUUGCCAUCCAAUUUCUCCGUCUCUUUCACAGUUUGAAGCAAUUAGUCGCUAAAUUGGCCUUAUAAGACUCAAUUGAGACAAAAAAGUUUGAGAACUAAAAUGAAUAAAAAAAAAAUGCUUCAAUUCAUAGCAAAAUAUGAGAGAAUGAACAAUAAAUUUAGUUACAAUAUUUUACCAACACGUCUUAGUGUUUUGUUCGUAGUAUUGUUAUUUCUAAAAUUCUUCGCUUUAAAAAAGUCAUUAUUAUAAAAAAGUUGAUGAGAACAUUUUACACAUAAAGAAAUAAAUAAAUUUAAGGUCACAACAUAUUUGAUAUACAAUGCUAGCCCUAUUUGUACCUUAACUUGAAUAAACUUUAAUGUGAGAAAAUCACUAGAUUCCAAUGUAGAAAGUAAAGUUGUCAGUCGACACUAAUUUCUACCACCAAAACACUAGUUCUUUAUGUCAAUGUGUUCCAUUAGAUGAGAAAAGUUUUUGGGUUUUAGGUUGUUUUUUGUUUGUUUUUGAACCAUUUUUUUAGGUUGUUUGAACGCAUAAAUGUGUUUUAGGUCUAUACUAGAUGUUAUGCCCUCGCGAUGUCGCGAGCUUGUGGCAUGUUUGUGCGUUGUUGUAGAUUUGUGGAAAAAAUAUGUGGAGAAAAGCUGUUGCAAUUCACACUAUUUUCAAGGAAAAAAUUACAAAGCUAAAUUUUUAACUAAAUUAAUAUUUAAAAAAAUAAAAUGAACAAAGAAAAUUUUAGAAAAAAUCAUAACAAAAAAAAAAGAAAAGAAAAAAAAACCAUGCAGGGAAACACUGUAGUAAUCUAUAGUGUUUCAUGAGAAAAUCUACAGUUAUAAUUCUCAAUCAGUUCAAUAUUAAAUAUAAUAAAAUCAAUAAAGAUAAUUUUAAAAAAAUCAUAACAAAAAAAAAAAAUCAUGUGGGGGAACACUAUAACAAUCCACAGUGUUUUAAAGAAAAAACUACGAAGCUAAAUUCUCAACCAAAUCAAUAUAAAAAAAAUCAUAAAAAAAACCAUGUGGGGAAAUACUAUUGCAAUCCACAGUGUUUUUUUUUUAAAAAAAAAACUAUAAAGCUAAAUUUUCAACCAGUUCCAUAUUAAAAAAAAAAUCAACAAAAACAAUUUUGAAAAAAAACACAAAAAACUGAAAAAAAAAAAGAAGAAGAAGAAGACAAUUUUGGAAGAAAAUGGAAAAAAAAAUGUGAGGGAAAGUUAAAGUUUAGUUCUUAACCAGUUCAAUAUUAAAAAAAAAAUUCGAUAAAGAUAAUUUUGAAAAAAAACAUGUAGGGAAACAUUGUAGCAAAACAAAAACCAUGUGGGGAAAUAUUGUAGCAAUCCAAAGUGUUUUAAAGAAAAGAACUAUGAAGAAAAAUCAACAAAGACCAUUUUGAAAAAAAAAAGAAAAAAAUUCAUAAAAAAAAAAACAAAGCCGUGUAGGGAAACAUUGUAAUAAUCUAUAAUGUUUUUUUUAAAAAAACUAUAUAAUUAAAAUUUUAACCAGUGCAAUAUUAAAAAAAACCAACAAAGAUAAUUUUGAAAAAAAACACAAAAACAAAAAAGAAGAAGACAAUCUCGGGAAAAAAACAUGUAAAGCCCAAAAAAGGGAAAAAAAAUGUGGGGAAAAAAAGAAAGAAUUUAUUAUUUUAAUUUUUGAGUUAGAUUAGCUUAAAAAGAAUUUACGAGGACCGAAGCAUAUCCAAUCAUGGCCUCCGAGCCAUGACCGAGUGUGCUUGUUGGUUUUUAAAAAAUUUCUUUAAAAUCCAAAAUUGAUGCCAUAUCCAGGACUUGGAAGUGAAUACAAUUUAAAUGAUGCCAGAGCCCACCACCAAGAAUUUAAGUAUUAACACGGUAGCCCAUAUCUUGUUUCGGGCCUAGUGUGUGUGUGUACCACUAGAUUUUUCAUUCAAGAGAACAGGUUUACUGGACCAGAUAGAGCCCAUGUUUCUAACGAUGACAGGCUCUUACAGACUCUCUUAACCAAACUAACUCCAUAUUGGACAGGACAGAACAAAACAAAAGCAUGAUUAGAUUAUUAGACUUUUGAAUGUAAUUAAAAAUCUUUUACUAUUUCCUUACUAAUCUGCGGGCUUGGAGGCAGGUUGUGAGUUGUGACACGCAAGGCGUUGAAUGAUGAAGUUGUCUUUUUGAAAUGAAGGGUGUGUUACAGUAUUAGAAGGAUUUAUCGUUUACUGAAAAGUCUAUAAUUUAGAAGAAUCUAGAUAAAAAAAAUUAGCUGUCUUUCCUAGUUCACUCUACUUAAAGCUUAAGCUGUCUGUCAUUUCAUUUUUGUUCUAUUUUUAAACAAAUCCUCUGUUUUCUUUUCAUCAGAUCAUCAAAAAAACAUCUAGGUAAAUCUAUCUCCCCCUUUUCUCACAUUAGUUUCCAUUUUACAUGCUUAUUAUUAUUUUUAGUUAUUAUAUUCACUUUUGAAGUUUUUCUGUCCAUAUUUUGAACUAUCCUUUUAUCUAUAAGAACCCUGCCAGUGUGUGCGAGCGCUUCUGUUUUUGGGUUAAGGGUUUUAGGUUCCUUUUAGUGGGUUUUGGCCAUCUGGGUAGCUAUUACUUCGUCAAUCUUUGACUCUCUUAAAUUUAAUAGAUUUGAUCAUUGACUAAUAGAUUCAUUAUAGUAGUUUAUAUAGGGAUUUUUCUUGUCAGUUUUUAAAUGGCUAGAUUGAUUCUUCCAUGCAAAAGUUCCUGUCUUGCAAAGACCAGUCUCCUGGGUUUGAUCUCCUCUGCUCCUGUGAUUACUCUCAUCCUAUUUUCUCGUUGAUUUUUAUAUGCAUAAAUGUUUUUUAUUUGUUGGUGUUAAUUAUUUAAUGAAUGGCUUUGAUUGGUUGUUGGGACUCUCUUAUGUUGUGUUGCAAUGAAUUAUUAGCACCCAGAAGGAGCAUGAAGGCUAUUGAUUUCUGUUGCUGUAAUUUGCACUAGCUUUAUUAACGGUGCUACAUCCUUAAAAGGAUUUGUUUCCACCAGUAAAGGUGUUACCUGUGUUGUUUUAAGUUCAUUGUUCUAUAUGAUUUUGAGAUUUAGCUUCUUGGGUGGUUACUCUCCUUUACUCAUUUAUACUUGUUUUGAACAUUGUUGGUGAUCAUGUAGUAGAUUUUUUGUUGUUUGUUUAUGUAUCUUUUAAUCCAUUCAUUUAUUUCCUGCAGCUUCGAGCUACCGGUAGACCUAGUUGCUUUCAUAGUUCAGUAAGAAAUAUCUCGAAAUACAGAGGAUUCCUCAGCUCAGAGGUUUGCAUAAUUUUUGCACGUGUGACCUUGGAAAUCUGAACGCAAGUUUUUCUAUGAUUAUUUUGGCUUCAACUCAUCGUUGUAUUCCAAGUUCUGCCAAUUGUCCUGACAAAAUUGUUAUCUAGGUUGCCUUUCGAAGGAAGUACCGGUUUUCAUACCCAGCAUUAUAUGUAAGUUAUAAUUCCUUGGUUUCAUCUUGUCUGUCUAAAUACCACUUGCCAGAACAUGCACACACCAUAUCCACACACAUUCACUCAUGCACACGAUAAAGUGUCAUGGCAAAUUGUGUAUUUUUUCCUUGAUUGAUUUGUUUUGCUUGGUGUUUCAUGCAUGUAUAUGACCUUAUUGUGCAUUCCUUGACAUAUUUUCAGAGAGAUAAGCAAGACCGAAGGAGGCUAAUUUGUGCAGUCGCCACAGAACCAUUACCCAAGCAAGUUGAAGAAUCCAAAAUGGACGCACCAAAAGAAAUCUUUCUCAAGGAUUAUAAGUUGCCUGACUACUACUUUGAUUCGGUAUGCAAAAACUUAGUCGAGUUUGGAAUAUUGACAUCUAGGACUCUGAAUUUCUUUCUUUGGCUUUCACUUAUCCUCAUAUUAUAUCCUUAUCUUAGGUGGAUUUGACAUUUUUGCUGGGUGAAGAGAAAACAAUUGUUAGUUCGAAAAUAACUGUUUUACCUAGAGUUGAAGGUAACUAUUAAGGCCAUUCUUUGCUCAUAGAAUUUGAUCAGACAUCUGUAGGAAAUGUGCAAAUGUUGUUCUUACAAUGGCAGUUCAUACCAUAGCACUGGCUAAUCGAACACUAUUGUUGAAUAGGUUCUUCUUCUGCGCUAGUUUUGGAUGGAGCAGACCUGAAACUGCUUUCAGUUAAAGUCAAUGGUGAGGAACUGAAGGUAUGUUUAUUUCACUCUUCCAGAUGUUGGCUUAGCAUGUGGAUUUUUCCUCUUAACUAUAUUGGAAAGCUUUUUUUUUGGAUCGUGAUAUUUGUCUACACUCUUUCCUAUAGGAGGUUUUGAUAAUGUUAUACGUUUUCCUCUUUUUGCAUUUUAUUAGUCCAAGGAUGCUCACACCCAAUUAGAACAUUUGCCAUUUUGUGAUGUUUGGCACUUUAUUCUUUUUUCUUUCCUCAUCUCUCUCUGGUUUUUUUCCUCUUCUUUCUCUCUUCUUUCCUUUUUUGGGGCAGGGAGGGUUUAAGAUAAUUUGGUGAUGAUUUAACACAACUUUUUUUUGUGCUUUUCUUUUUUCCAGAAUGGAGAUUAUCAUUUGGAAUCACGCCAUUUAACAAUCCUAUCACCACCUUCUGGUAAAUUUAAGUUGGAAAUUGUUACUGAGAUAUAUCCCCAGAAGAACACAUCAUUGGAGGUACAACAUAUUUUGUCUCGUCCUUUUCACAGAUGCUUCAUGUGACUGUUUGCUAGAUUUGAAGUUGCACUAUCCUUUUUCUCUUUAGGGACUUUACAAGUCAUCUGGGAAUUUCUGCACUCAAUGUGAAGCAGAGGGUUUCCGCAAAAUUACAUAUUAUCAGGUUGAUUCAUAGAACCAUUUAAUUCUAUUGAUUCAUACUGCUAAAUACAAGUUUAAAUUAUUUUAUUUUAAUAUGGUAACAGGAUCGCCCUGAUAUAAUGGCAAAAUACACUGUCCGAAUUGAAGCUGAUAAAUCUUUGUACCCAGUAUUGCUAUCUAAUGGAAAUCUCUUGGAACAAGGAGACCUUGAGGUGAAUUUACCUGUUAUGUAGAAUAGCCUCCCCCAUCCACAAAAAAAAAUAAAAAUAAAAUUAAUCACCAUUGAAUGUCUGCUUCUCUGGUUCUGUUGCAGGGUGGUAAGCAUUAUGUUCUCUGGGAGGAUCCCUUCAAGAAACCUUGCUAUUUGUUUGCAUUGGUUGCUGGACAUCUGGAGAGCAGAGAUGACACUUUUGUUACCCGUUCUGGUCGAAAUGUGUCACUAAGAAUUUGGACCCCUGCACAAGAUGUACCCAAGACAGCACAUGCCAUGUAUUCACUUAAAGCAGCAAUGAAAUGGGAUGAGGAUGUUAGUAUCUUCCUAUCUAACCCAUUAUUUAAAAAUAACAUCAAACCUAACUUUUGGGUUUUAGUGUUAAAAGUCUUACCAUUUUAUCAUGCAACUCUGCAAACAGGUUUUUGGUCUUGAAUAUGACCUAGAUCUCUUUAACAUUGUUGCUGUCCCUGAUUUUAACAUGUAAGUUACAUUCUUUGUUUAGUAAAACGUGCUCAUAUAAUAGCCCUUUAUCUUGUUUGAUCUGUAUAAUGGUGACAAAUACUGUUAUUUUCAUGCACUUAAGACAACACUACCUUGUUUCUGAUUGAUUGUCAGGGGAGCCAUGGAGAACAAAAGUUUGAAUGUAUGUCAUCUAACUUUUCUCGAGUUCAUCAUCAUUUAUAUUUGUUUAUUUUAUCUUCUUAUUAACACCAAAAGCAAAUUGAUCUUAUCUAUUUGGAUUUCCUUUUGGCAGAUUUUCAAUUCCCAGCUUGUUUUGGCAUCCCCAGAAACUGCUUCAGAUGCAGAUUAUGCUGCUAUUCUUGGGGUUAUUGGCCAUGAGGUUUGUUAUGAUAUAACAAAAGGAGCAUAUUUUUUCAAUACCUUUUGUAUGAUUCGAGGAAUGUAUUGUUUUGACUUGAAUUUUGUCUUGUUUCUAUCUGCAGUAUUUCCACAACUGGACAGGCAACAGGUUGUAAGUCCUCCCGUUUUUAUCCUGUCUUUAUGCCUGUGUUAUGCAUUCUAUUUUUAUAUGCAGAGAAAUAAGAUCUGUUUUGUUGCAGUAUGUUUGUAGUGGAUUUGUUGUUCUAGUGGUCAUGGAGAUGAAUGUAUUUUUUAUUGCUUUUGUAUUAUUGUGAAUUACAGUACGUAUAGAAACUUUAAUUAAGUGAUAUCUGAAUAAAUGCAGGGUGACUUGUCGUGACUGGUUCCAGCUCAGUUUAAAGGAAGGUCUAACUGUAUUUCGUGAUCAGGUAGAACUCUUUUCUUUCCUAUAUAACGAGUGCAAUUUCAUAGUCACAUUAGUACCUUUAUUUAUUCUUGAAAAUCUUCGACAUUGCUAGGAGUUUUCAUCUGAUAUGGGAAGCCGCACUGUGAAGAGGAUCUCUGAUGUUUCAAAGCUUCGAAUUUCUCAGUUCCCACAGGUUCUUUCUUGUCCCUUUACACAAUUUUUGAAGUGAUGUCUUAAGUAUUAAUCUUCAGGUGUUUAAAUUACUUUCACAAUUAUAAGUUGAUACAUGAGUAUGCUUUCUCUAUAAUUUCACAUGGAUUCUGAUACAACAUACUAUAUGCAAGCACUAACAAAGGUAUUUUGUAAUCAUUCAGGAUGCCAGUCCUAUGGCUCAUCCAGUGCGACCACAUUCAUAUAUCAAGGUAUGAAAUCCACUUAUUUAUCAAAGACCUUUUCUGUUAAACUACCUGCUUGCUUUAAACUUAAUUUUUAGUUGUGUACUGUAUUCAAUGUCACUGCUUUUUUAUCCACAGAUGGACAACUUCUACACUGGUUAGUUUCUGUUCUGUAUGACUUAUUCAGUCAAAGCUUCAUGAAACACUUUGCUUUCAAGUGGUUUGGAAUUUGGUCUUUCAACUUUUUUGAUAUUUGGCUGUCUUUUGCAAUGAUGUUGGGUUCAUUCUGAUAUGGGACUUUUCACCGCCAAAAAUUUGCAGUGACGGUAUGGUUUGGAAAUUCGUGGAUGCAUCUUUUAAUUUUGUUCAGUUUUCCUCCUUUCACGAGGCCAGUUACCUAAUUUUUCAUCUUUUGGGUUUUCUUUCUUGUUUUUCUUCGUUGCAGGUGUAUAGAAAGGUAUGAAAGCAUUCUCAUCUUGUGUAUAUGUGUGCAUGUGUGUGGAUAAGGAGCACUGUUGAUGCAUCAAAUUCUUAUUUUUGUGUAUCAGGGAGCGGAAGUUGUCAGGAUGUACAAAACCUUAUUAGGGAGUCAAGGUUUCAGAAAGGUAGAAAAUGAUCCAAACUGAUUCUUGUGUGAUAAUCAGCUAUACCAUAAAACUGUGCAUCCUGGAAAAUUUAACCACAAUUGUAUUUCGUAUUUCAGGGCAUGGAUCUUUAUUUUAAAAGACAUGAUGGUCAAGCUGUGACAUGUGAAGAUUUUUUUGCUGCCAUGCGAGAUGCAAAUGAUGCAGAUUUUGCUAAUUUCUUACAAUGGUAUAGACCUGUCUUUUAUUUUCUUUGAAUUACCCUCUGCUUUUUUAUGCGGACAUUGGAAUGUCAUAAAAUUACAGGUACUCCCAAGCUGGUACACCUCUGGUGAAAGUUACUUCAUCUUAUGAUGCUGAAGCUCAUACUUUCACCUUAAAGUUCAGGUAUACAUGCUAACUUCCUUGCGAGAGGCAUAAUAUUCCUUUAUUAGUCUUGUGGUAUGACUGACAACUCGGAAUCUGGAUAUUCCACAGUCAAGAAGUACCACCAACGCCAGGGCAACCAGUUAAAGAACCCAUGUUCAUUCCUGUGUUGUUAGGGCUGCUGGACACAAGUGGCAAGGACAUGCCACUCUCUUCUGUGUAUCAUGAUGGCGCAUUGAAGUCUAUUGCAAGUGACAGUCAACCAGCCUAUAGUACAAUUCUUAGAGUAACCAAGGUGAGAGCACACUGGUGAACCCAUGCUUGCUUUAUCUUUGCAUGUUUUAGUUUCUCCUAGGAUAUCUUGUUAACUGCAGUUGCUUUCCAAUGCCCUAUUUUUUUAUUGUUUUGCCAGAUUUUUGGUUAUGAAUCAAAAUGGUCUUUUCAGAUUUUUUUUGGUUGGAUAUGUGUUACUAGUUAUUCAUAGGAAUUAGUGGUGUUCCUGGAUCUACUAUAAAGAUGUUAGUAGUUGUGGUUGAUGUUAGUUAGUAGUUAUAUGAUGCUUUUAUUGUGAUUUUUAUUUAUUUGAGAUUAAAAGGAAAGGAAUUUAUAUCAUGCAUCACUUUUAUUAAUAAGAAGUGAAUUUACUGCUGAUGCUGCAGAAAGAGGAGGAAUUUGUUUUCUCUGAUAUACUUGAGCGGCCAGUACCUUCUCUAUUGCGGGGUUUCAGCGCUCCAAUCCGCCUUGAAUCUGAUCUCUCUGACAGUGAUCUGUUUUUCCUCCUUGCUCAUGAUUCAGACGAAUUCAACCGGUUUGUCUAUCUCUAAGCACUUGUGCCAUUUUUCUUACUUUAAAGUGACUGAUGGAAAGGUAUUUUAUACUCUUUUUUUUUUUGUUUCAGAUGGGAGGCUGGACAAGUCUUGGCUAGAAAACUGAUGCUCAGCUUAGUCGCUGAUUUCCAACAAGGGAAACCAUUGGUUCUGGACCCAAAGUUUGUGCAAGGGCUAAGAAGCAUACUUAGUGACUCGAACUUGGAUAAGGUAUGGCCAGUGUUUUUACUUCAUCUUCCUCUUGUUUGUGGGGAGGGAGGAGGUAGAAGAUUCAUGCACCAGAGUAGAUAGAAGAUGUAAUGCACUAAUGAGGCUUAAUCUUUUUGUUAUCCAGGAAUUUAUUGCAAAGGCAAUAACACUACCAGGUGAAGGAGAAAUAAUGGACAUGAUGGAAGUUGCAGAUCCUGAUGCUGUUCAUGCUGUUCGAUCUUUCAUCAGGAAGCAGCUUGCAUCUGAACUGAAAGCAGAGUUUUUACGCACAGUAUGGCCAGUUACCCUGGGUUUACUCUAUUUGUACUUAAUGCCUCUACUUCUUGAUUAAUCACUUUGGGUGAAUGAAUUUGUCAUUCUUCACAGGUCGAAAACAAUAGGAGCUCAGAAGAGUAUGUGUUCAACCAUCCUGACAUGGCUAGGCGUGCUCUAAAGAAUAUUGCCCUUGGUCUGUGUUUCUUGUCUUGGUCUUGUGUUUCUUGGCAUCAUGGUAUUUAAAGUUUCUAGAUUAUAGUAACUAAUUUAAGUAGUUACACCUGUCUUUUCCACCAUCUGCAGCAUAUCUUGCAUCACUUGAAGACGAGGAGUUAACUGAGCUUGCAUUGCAUGAGUACAAAGCUGCCACAAAUAUGACCGAUCAAUUUGCAGCUUUGGCAGCCAUAGCCCAAAAUCCUGGGAAAACUUGUGAUGAAGUACUUGCUGACUUCUACUCCAAGUGGCAGGAUGAUUUUUUGGUGAGUCUUUUGCUGAGAGCAAUUCAUUUUACUUGUUUUGUGGUGCCCUGUUUCACAGAGGACAAGUAUAUUUGGAAAACAAUGACUUCCAUGAGGCUAUUAUAUCAUUGGAAGCCAUUUCAAGGACCAGAGCAUUGAAGUAAUUUUGUGAUCUCUUGUUGGAUAAUAUGUUCUCUCUUUCUGUUAGGUUGUGAAUAAAUGGUUUGCCCUUCAAGCCAUGUCUGAUGUUCCCGGUAAUGUUGAGAAUGUUCGGAACCUCCUGAAUCAUCCAGCAUUUGAUCUGCGCAAUCCAAACAAGGUAUGCAAUCAUCAAUAACUGUUUAUGUUUGUUUGUGUGCGCACCUUCAUGUGUCAAUUUCAAAGUUUUGAUUGAGAUUGAACCCUUUGUGUGAUAUGCAGGUACGCUCACUCAUCGGAGGAUUCUGCAGCUCUCCCGUGAAUUUCCAUGCAAAGGACGGUUCAGGCUACAAGUUCUUGGGGGAGAUUGUGGUGCAACUGGACAAAAUUAAUCCUCAGGUUUGUUUCUAUAUUACAUCCAUGGAGUAGGAAGUAACUUGUCGUUAUCACUAUGCACAUGGGAUUGAUCAUCUAUAGUUGCUUGUUCAAUAACCUCCUUGGAUUUCAGGUGGCUUCCCGCAUGGUAUCAGCCUUCUCAAGAUGGAAACGCUAUGAUGAAACCCGGCAAAACCUUGCCAAGGUAAGUAGCUGGUGCCAUUUUUUCUGUGGAUGGAAUAACCAUCCAAAAGCAUUGAUGUUAAUUUGUAUCCAAAUUGGCACGGUUUUUAAUGCAGGCACAGCUGGAGAUGAUCAUGUCUGCCAAUGGACUGUCAGAGAACGUAUUUGAGAUCGCCUCAAAAAGUUUAGCUGCUUAAAUGCCUAAAAUUUGCAGGUUGCAGUUGUUUGUCAUCAGUGCUUGCGACUGUGAUGUAGGAAUAAGUGUGUUUGGAACACUUGCAAGAUCAGCAUGCUGUCCUCAUUAUGAUGUCUCAUCUAUGGAAGAUACAGGAUUCUGUAACUUUCAAUACAUCUUGACAUGGAAUAUUUCGCAAAAUAAUACCCUGAUGAUGCUUUUUUCUUCUUGGUGGGUGAACUAGAAUUCUACUCUACUGUCUGUGGCACUAGCAUAUAUCUAGCUAGGGAUUAGUCGAGAUAUUAG
RNAcentral lists this long non-coding RNA (11991 nucleotides) under Populus tremula. Its description in RNAcentral is "long non-coding RNA (PTRE_LNC000072)". The record is from RNAcentral. Lineage: Eukaryota; Viridiplantae; Streptophyta; Magnoliopsida; Malpighiales; Salicaceae.